GAAAUGCGAUAAGUAAUGUGAAUUGCAGAAUUCAGUGAAUCAUCGAAUCUUUGAACGCACAUUGCGCCCGCCAGUAUUCUGGCGGGCAUGCCUGUCCGAGCGUCAUUUCAACCCUCGAACCCCUCCGGGGGAUCGGCGUUGGGGAUCGGGACCCCUCACACGGGUGCCGGCCCCUAAAUACAGUGGCGGUCUCGCCGCAGCCUCUCCUGCGCAGUAGUUUGCACAACUCGCACCGGGAGCGCGGCGCGUCCACGUCCGUAAAACACCCAACUUUCUGAAAUGUUGACCUCGGAUCAGGUAGGAAUACCCGCUGAACUUAA
This 320-nucleotide unclassified non-coding RNA is filed under the name uncultured Trichoderma. RNAcentral describes it as "sequence contains ITS1". The stretch from base 1 to 105 matches the Rfam family "5.8S ribosomal RNA", at positions 50 to 154 of the family's 154-position model. The record is from RNAcentral. Lineage: Eukaryota; Fungi; Ascomycota; Sordariomycetes; Hypocreales; Hypocreaceae. RNAcentral also lists the same sequence under 1 other name.